CUAUGAACAACCAUGACAUAAUAAAACUCUUCAGGAGAAAAUCUAUAAGCAAAUUGCAAAAAAGCUUGAAAUAUAGACAAAAUCAUAUGAUGUAAAAAAAAAAAUUGUUGCCAUCAAGUUAUGCAUCACAAGUGAAAACUCUCUCCACCUUCCAUGAAGGGUUAAAGAGGUAACUCUAAUGUACAAAAGACAAUACAAAACAUUACACCGGGAGAAAAAAAAUUGAACCAAUACAAACCUCUUCCAGAAAGAGGGGACUCUAAUAUGAACCACAAACACAUACACAGACACUAGCACGACAUGGACAUUGACAGGUCGACUACGAUAAUAAUUCGAAAAAAUGACAUACUUGAAUAUAAUCAUCUGUGUCGGUGACAAGCAUAAUCUGAGGAGUGUCUGUCUGUGCUUUAUGAGACUAUCACAAUACCCUCUUUACACAAAGUAUCGCGAAGGAAUCAACUCUAGGUUACAAAACAAAUCCUAGCAACACUAAAAAAAGUAUGACCCUUCUUUAGUUUGAGCUAGUUCAACCCAAUCUUAAUCUUCACUGCCUGCACCAAUGCAACAAAACAAACAU
RNAcentral lists this long non-coding RNA (577 nucleotides) under Trifolium pratense (red clover). RNAcentral's name for it is "long non-coding RNA (TPRA_LNC005590)". The record is from RNAcentral. Lineage: Eukaryota; Viridiplantae; Streptophyta; Magnoliopsida; Fabales; Fabaceae.